Molecule: long non-coding RNA, 1845 nt
Filed under: Felis catus (domestic cat)
Lineage: Eukaryota; Metazoa; Chordata; Mammalia; Carnivora; Felidae
Description: lncRNA (ENSFCAG00000048156.1)
Source: RNAcentral
UACAUGCUCUCUCUCCUUUUUUUUUUCUUUUUUCAGGAUUCAUAAGGCCAAGGACCCUGCAAAAGUUUCCUUUCGUGUGCACUCAUUGGGAUACCUAUUUUGCCAAGUGCUGACUCCUAUUUUUUUCCGAGCGAUCAGCUGUCUCUUUUUUGCUUACCUUGCUACACCUCUAUUUUUAAUACCCCGGUCACUCUUUCAAAUGCCUCGGGGAAGUAAGUCGGAGGUUCACUGGGAACAGGGAGAGGAAGAGAUUUACGGCAAUGUUUUCUGCAGGCUAAACCCGGAGUUUUAUAACGAUGGACCCUUUGCAGAGGAAUCCCCAAAACAGAACAUUAAGGUACCCAGCGCUGAGUCACUGACACGUAUAUUUCUGCCUAAAUCGUAAAGCAAAAAUCCUAGAAGCUUAGCUCAUUUGAUCAAAAUCAUAUUUGUCAAACAGCGGUUUCUCUUCUCUCAACACUCCCUGACAAUUUAUCCCGUGAGUUGCUUAGAACAGAUAAAUGUUAAUUUGUUCUCAAAGGCUUGAGUCCUCAUGAGGUGAAUGACUGUGCGUCUCCUUGGUAAUUCAUAGGUCGCCAAGUUAGAAAUCUGAGAUGCCGCCUCAUACGCGUGAAGCUUCUUCUCGACCUGCUGGUACCCUUGCUGUGAAGAAAAUAUGCUGCGAUGUGGCAAGACACAAUCGCAGAAAAGGAAACCGACGGGAAGACGUAACCCUGGUGAGCAACCUCAGGUAAUGCCAACGCGUUUUGUGCUUUAGUGUGUGGACAUCUCAUUUGACCCUCAAGUGUUGUGAGGUAUUAUUAUUCCAUUUUCCAGACGAGGAAACUGAGGCCUCACAAAGGCAAAUGAUUGUUGGAGAAGAGGAAGGUGAAAAGCAAAGGAAACCGUAUUUCUCUGAAGCCAAAGCCCUUACUCAUUCUUUGCAUCAUCCUGCUUCCAUAACGAAUGUCAUGCAUGGAGGCGUAGAUUUGCUGUUCCAGAAGCAUAUCAUUUUGCGUUUAGAAUUGUUUCUGGUGACGUGAUAGAUGUCGCUCCUUACUCCUCAGGGUUGAAGUUGAGGGUUCUGCAGGGAGGGAGCGGGGAAGAAGAUUUUUGAGACGUUUUCUGGGGUGCAUUAUUUAUAAUCCUAUUUGCUGAGUUUAUUGUCUUACCGAUGGAUGAAGAGCUUCAAUAUCUCAGUUGUUAUUUGGAAUUUUCUAGGGAAAGAGAUGCUUGCCACAACCUCCGACCUUCAUGUAGAACCCUAGCCUUAUUGGAAUAUGCUCCUAUAAAACACAAUUCAUCCCAAACAUGGCGUUUCAACCUUUUUGUUUGAUAAGUAUGAAUUUCUCCAGUUUGUGAACUAAGCUGGCACCUCUUUUAAGUCCGAUUCCUCUGUUUUUUCCAGCCUGAUUAUGCACGGAAUCUCAUUCAAAUGAACUAGAAUUUCUCUGAGCAACGUUGGGUGUAAGAGGUUCCAAACAGAAUUGGACCUUGGCUGUUAAAUGGUAUGCGAGAUGCUAUCUGUUGUCUUUGUGCUUUUAUGAUUGUACUGACUUAUCAUCUGCACUGUCAGUGACCUUCAGGAAAAGAAAUGUAGAAUACACAGAGGAAUUUUCAUUACUUGAAAAAUAGUAAGUGAAGUGAUGACAGAUGGAUAACGAAUACAUGGUUUGUGCCAAGUAACACUUUUUCCUUAAAAAUUUUUUUUCGAAGCAUCUUUAUUUCAUUGUAAACCAGAAAUUGUGACUUUUUUUUUGCCUCCUAAGUAUCUGUGUUAAUGUUAACGUGUUUGCAGUUGUAUUCCAUUCAUUUUUAAUAGGAGCAUUAAAUAAAGAUGAUUCAUUUUAGCUGGAAUUUAAAAUA